Molecule: ribosomal RNA, 274 nt
Filed under: uncultured bacterium
Lineage: Bacteria
Description: partial 16S ribosomal RNA
Rfam family: Bacterial small subunit ribosomal RNA
Source: RNAcentral
AUACGGAUGGUGCGAGCGUUGUUCGGAAUUACUGGGCGUAAAGGGCGCGUAGGCGGCGAUGUAAGUCAAAUGUGAAAGUCCUCGGCUUAACCGGGGAAGUGCAUCUGAAACUGCAUUGCUUGAGUAUGGGAGAGGAAAGUGGAAUUCCCGGUGUAGAGGUGAAAUUCGUAGAGAUCGGGAGGAAUACCGGUGGCGAAGGCGACUUUCUGGACCAAUACUGACGCUGAGGCGCGAAAGCGUGGGGAGCAAACAGGAUUAGAUACCCCAGUAGUCC